This 253-nucleotide ribosomal RNA is filed under the name uncultured bacterium. RNAcentral's name for it is "partial 16S ribosomal RNA". It matches the Rfam family "Bacterial small subunit ribosomal RNA", at positions 524 to 776 of the family's 1533-position model. The record is from RNAcentral.
GACAGAGGGUGCAAACGUUGUUCGGAAUUACUGGGCGUAAAGAGCUCGUAGGUGGUUUGUCGCGUUGUCCGUGAAAACUCACAACUCAAUUGUGGGCGUGCGGGCGAUACGGGCAGACUGGAGUACUGCAGGGGAGACUGGAAUUUACGGUGUAGCGGUGAAAUGCGUAGAUAUCGUAAGGAAGACCAGUGGCGAAGGCGGGUCUCUGGACAGUUCCUGACGCUGAGGCACGAAGGCCAGGGGAGCAAACGGG